This is a non-coding RNA of Nicotiana tabacum (common tobacco), 3449 nucleotides long. NCBI's taxonomy places the organism in Eukaryota, Viridiplantae, Streptophyta, Magnoliopsida, Solanales, Solanaceae. The record is from RefSeq and is a predicted model, not a curated record.
AUCCGAUUUUUCAUUCUCAUCUCUAACUAAAAAAAGAAAAGAACAGACGCACAAGCAGCAGCUCUUCUCUUCAUCUUCUCAUCCAGUGGUCGACUUGAAGAGAACGAGUGCAAGCUAAGAUAGUUCAUGUGAUCCGAUGUUUUGGCAAAAAUGCGAAUAUUUGAUCGUUUGUAUGACAUAAUUGGACACUUUUUACCACAAGGUGAGUAAUUAGAUUUUCAUAAAGUGACUUUUUUUGGUCAAGAUAAAGUAAAAUAUUCUUAUUAUUAAUUAUUUCUUUAUUUAUUAUUUGGAAUUGAGGAGUAGUUCUUAUUGUUGUAAUAUUUAAGGCUAGAUAAAAAUAUAUCGAUAUUUAAUCCUUGAAUGAAUAAUUUUAAAAAAUAAUGGAAUAUUUCUUCCAGUUUCCUGCUGAGAAGCUAGAGGGUCUAUAAUAGCUUGACGGAAAAAUAAAGUUUUGAACUUUACAAGGUUUAUCAACGAUGCGUAUGUACCAUGCUUAUUCAGAUCAUGUUAACAAUAGCAAGUAACAUAAAAAAAAUUCUUCCCUUCAAAUACACAUUCAUAUUUUGGUGUAUGUGAAGAAAUUACCAACCUCUUGAGUGGAUCUCUUUGAUAGAAAAAAGUACUUUUGCACAAGUCAUGUAUGUGUAUAUUAUAAUUGCUUGGUCUAGGACUAUAAUAAAUAUCCUUUGCUCAUAAAGUCUUAAUAUGUACCAUGCUAGAAGAUGUCUUCUUAGUGAUCUAUAUUGCCCCAGCAAAUUAAAGUAUUUAUGGACUUGGAGAACCUAUCAGGGAUUUCAUGAGCCAUGAGCCUACCUCAGAUGAAGAGGUCCUGUUCUAGCAAAGAACUAAAACUAUAGAGUUAGUAUCGGUAUAGUAAAAGUGUUUCUUUUUUAUCCAUGGAAUGAUAACUAAGAAGGCGUAAUUGACUAACCAAAUAGGUUUCUUCUUUAUUAAUUUUUAUAUGGGCUUAGAUACCAAGUCACUAAAUUUAUAAGCAGCAACCUGCUACUCUGCUUCAACACUUUCUUAAUAUCAACAAGUAAGCAUGCUAAAACAAUAUUAUCCUUAGUUUCCAUUUGAAUGAGAAGCUCACCAUAUUGCCACCAGUAUUUAUUAUAAUAAUAUAUAUGCAUGGAUCUUUUACAAAUUAGUUCUUGAAGCUUCCAGAAUAAGGCUCCCGCCCCAUUAGAUGUCCUAUGCCAAAUUUUGCAGCAUGACUUAUGGUGGUUGAUUUGUAGUUCUUAGCUAUCUAUUUGGUUAUUUUUGCCGUUAUCGUUUGUUCAUUUAUGUGAAGUAACUACUAAACUAAAUACCAUAUUCUUUUUGGAACAUGUAUCUCUUGAAACGUAUGCUCCUCAAGUCCAUCAUUUUGUACCGUAAAUUUCUAAAAAAAGUUAUACGGUUAACUUUCUAUUUGAAAGUCAGCAAAAGACAAAUAUGUAAUACUAGAAUGAAUUGCGCGGGUGGUUAGAUGUUUGAUUGAAAGAGUUUAAACAUUUAAUGAAGUUAAUAGAAGGCUUGACGAUAUUUAAUAUACUCGAGCAUAGAAAUUAAAUUUUUUUGCAAAGCUUAAUUACUUCCCUCGAUUUAUAGCAAGGCACAAGUUUUUAGCUCAAAAGAAUACAUGUCUCAAAAGAUAUUAAAGCUCCACUCUUUUCUCAAGUUUUUGCUACAGUUCGGUUUUGGUCUAAUUGCAGUUUUGCUGCAAUUUUUUUUCUUUUGCAGUUUUGUGUUAAGUAUUUGCUGCAGUUUUGGUCUAGCUAUGAAGUAAUUUAACUGCAAUAUUUGUCCAGUUUUGAUGAUGUUUUUUAUGGAAUGGGUCUUGAAGAUAUGAAUUAAGGUUUUUUAAAAGGUAGAAGAAGACCGUCCAUCAAGGGAGAGCUUUUUUCAUGUUGGAUAGCCACGUCAUUAAUUAUGUUAUAGUUAAAUAUGUGUGGCAUAUGAUGUGGAGGGUCGUUAGUAGUAAAGGUAUAUGUGGGCCAAAAAUUAGACGGCAGGAGUAUAAUUGCUACUAAAAUUUAACGAGGAUAAAAGUGACAUAAUUCGAAUAGUUCAAGGGUAAAAGUCACAUGAUUGGAGUGCAGUUUCAUUUUAGGAACAUCAACGUUGGUGGUAUUAUCCAUUGAUGUCGUAAAAUAGAGUUCCAAGUAGCUCGAUAUGAAAUCAGCGUAUGCUAUCUUUUUUCAUUCAUUCUCAUUGCACUUCACCUAACAGUUUUUUUAAAAAAUAUAGUUUUGCUUGGAAUUUGCUUUUAAAUUUAUAUUUUAUUCCGAUGUUUUGCGUGAAAGUACAAGUAGUGGAUUGAUAUACCGUCUUUGCAUAUUUGGUAGGGACUAAUUCACUUGUCCACUUGUAGUUCUUGAUAGUUUGGUUUGCUAUACUUUUAGUUCAGUACAUGAAAUGCAUAAGGAUUAUAUGAUUCAUGUGUAUUUAUAAAUGGGAUGAAUACAUGCAUUCACAUAUGUGCUAUCUUUUAACAUAUAUGAAGUAUGUAUUAUGAACAUGCUUCUGUGAUGACUACUUUCGACUUCUUAUAUUUUUCUUUGUUUGCUGAUUAUAACUAUCGAGCGAAACUCAGAGCAAAAUUUACUUACCAUAGUUGCCGAAGAGUUAAAGUUUCUCCUCCUUCACUUCGAAUGGUAACGGAUAUGAACUAUUCAUCUUGGUACCUCUUUUUGCUCAAUCCCUCAACAUACCGUUCCCUAUAUAUUUAUGUAAUAUAUCAUUAUGAUGGUAAGGCUUAAAUCACUUCAAGCACUUCCAUGAAAUAGCCGGUUUUGGAUUGCGUAUGUGUUUUAGUUUAUUUAUUUCAUUGUCUUUAUGUUGUAGUUAUGCACAUGCUUCAAUUGGUUCUGACAUGCCCGCAGAAAGAGUUACUUUGUACUUUACGUUGUCUUCAUUUUUUUUUUGUUCAAACUAUUUAUUUAAUUGUUUCUCCUGAUUUAAGCAAAUUAGUUUGAUUCCAAUGAUAACCUUGAUGUGUUAUGUUCAAUAAUAUGUUUUGUUAUAAUUUUAAUUGUGUGCGUUCAGUUUCUUGGUUGUCAUAGAAAUUUCAUUUAUUCAGGGACUAUAUUAUAUCUCUAAGAUACCCUUUCAUUGAUGGAUGAUUGGUGCAUUUCUUCUUUGAAGCGACUGAUAAAGAAGUUACUUACUUUUACAGGAGACUUCUGAUGUUUUUAUCAUACUACAAAUCCAUAGAUUUUCUUAACUUGUGACAUACUUAACCUGCCCAACCAGUUGAAGUAAGUAAAGACACUUACUAAGACCAAGUAACAAUCAAAGCUUAUAAUAUGGACAAAGAUGUAUAAAUGAAUUGAAUCGCCUAUUUAUUUUGACUUAUCAAUGGUAACUCAGUCAUGCAAAGUCAUGAACAAGUAGUGCCUUUGGUCUAUUAUUUUGUAUAGUUUAUCUUUGCGAAUUUAAUAUCAUUGAGGGAGUGAGAUUUA